RNAcentral lists this non-coding RNA (186 nucleotides) under Rudaea sp. Its description in RNAcentral is "6S RNA". It matches the Rfam family "6S / SsrS RNA". Rfam says of the family: E. coli 6S RNA was the first non coding RNA to be sequenced, but its function was unknown until recently. It consists of 184 nucleotides that fold into an extended hairpin structure with a large single-stranded internal bulge. The 6S RNA specifically associates with RNA polymerase holoenzyme containing the sigma70 specificity factor. The record is from RNAcentral. Lineage: Bacteria; Pseudomonadati; Pseudomonadota; Gammaproteobacteria; Lysobacterales; Rhodanobacteraceae.
CGUUCCCUGCGAUGUGCGACAGCGCAUCCAAACAUAUUGCCUUGGCCCUAUAUACGACCCCGGGAUUGCAGUGCCCAAGUCUGUGCGCAAGUCCGCCGCGAGCGGAAAGCCUGAUGACCGGCGAGCUUUCCCACCUGAUCCUCGGGAUCAAGGUCGUUCGGUGUGCAUCGGCAUCGCGGAGAACGU